This 253-nucleotide ribosomal RNA is filed under the name uncultured prokaryote. RNAcentral's name for it is "partial 16S ribosomal RNA". It matches the Rfam family "Bacterial small subunit ribosomal RNA", at positions 524 to 776 of the family's 1533-position model. The record is from RNAcentral.
GACAGAGGUGCCAAGCGUUAGGCGGAAUCACUGGGCUUAAAGCGUGUGUAGGUGGAUUUCUAAGUACCUUGUGAAAUCCCACAGCUCAACUGUGGAACUGCUUGGUAUACUGGUUAUCUUGAGGCAACUAGGGGCUACCGGAACAAAUGGUGGAGCGGUGAAAUGCGUAGAUAUCAUUUGGAACGCCAAUGGUGAAAACAGGUAGCUGGGGUUGUCCUGACACUGAGACACGAAAGCCAGGGGAGCAAACGGG